CUCAACCAGAUGCUUCCGUCAACUCCACAACCAGCAGCUGUGCCUCCGCAUCCAGCUCCGCUCAGAACUGGCUGAGGGAAGCUGCGCAGUCUGGGUCUGCAGGACUGAAAGAGCGGGACCGCUGUGGUCUCAGGUUUGACCCGGUGUCUGCUUCCGGCCCUCGGAUGUUCCCGGAGCACCGAAUCGGGGUUCCUGCCCCCACGCUCACAUUCCAGUGCUCUGGCUUAGGCUUCUUGUUUCAUCCUCCUCUUAAGAGAUAGCAGCUAUUGUCCUGCGACGGGCAUUGUCCUCUGGAAUCUGAAGAUUUACAGAAAAGUUGCGAAGACAGUGCAGAGCCUGUCCAUACACCCCUCGAGCCAGUUUCCCUCACUGGGGAUACAUUUGUCACAGGAAGAUUAGCCCUGAGCUAACAUCUGCUGCCAAUCCUCCUGUUUUUGCUGAGGAAGACUGGCCCUGAGCUAACAUCCGUGCCCAUCUUCCUCUACUUUAUACGUGGGACGCCUAUCACAGCAUGGCUUGACAAGCGGUGCCAUGUCUGCACUGGGGAUCCAAACCGGCGAACCCUGGGCCACCAAAGCAGAGCACUCAAACUUAACCGCUGCACCACCAGGCCACCAGGCUGGCCCUUAUAGACAUUGACUUUUAAGCAGGAUAUUUCUCAGCUGAGAAAUUCUCUUUACCCAAAUAAUAAAGUAUAUUGUCAAAUUUUAAAAAGAAAAUAAGAAAGAUGUAUCCUUGGAAAUUA
RNAcentral lists this long non-coding RNA (745 nucleotides) under Equus asinus (donkey). Its description in RNAcentral is "lncRNA (ENSEASG00005026009.1)". Lineage: Eukaryota; Metazoa; Chordata; Mammalia; Perissodactyla; Equidae. The record is from RNAcentral.